ACGGCCCUGCUGCUGGCCAGCGCCAGGGCGGCCGCGGGCACUGAGGCCACGCACCCGCCGGAGGGGCCGCAGGACAGGACCCCGCAGCAGAAGGGGCGCCUGUCCCUGCAGAACACAGCUGAAAUCCAGCACUGCCUGGUAAAUGCUGGCGAUGUGGGAUGUGGAGUGUUUGAAUGCUUUGAAAACAAUUCUUGCGAGAUCCGAGGCUUACACGAGAUCUGCAUGACAUUCCUGCACAACGCUGGAAAAUUCGAUGCCCAGGUAACAUGCUUCAUUUAAUAUGGAGGUGGCUUUAGCCUCUGCUAUGACAUGACUUUUCACAGCUCCUCUCUCUAUUAUCUACAGUUAUUUCAGGCUGCAUUAAAUGACAAGACUAAUGCUGUCCAUUUUCUGUUCUCUGCUCUGAAACCUGAGAAUUGAUGUCAGGUUUGGUUUAUGUAAGAAUUCUCUUUUUCAUCCUUAUUUGCCUACUGUGCUCUGCAUGUUUGUUACUGAAGGGAAGGGCAAGUAAGUGCCUUUGGUAUGGGGAAUAGAAAGGGAUGAUGACUGAAGCAACUCUUUGAUCAGCAAGAAAUAUUUCUGGCUUGAAACGAUUUGGGGACGACAUCUGCUUGCAGGUCUGGGUGAACCUGACUUAGUCACUUAGAUGACUUAGUGACAGUGGGAGCUGUGCCAGUGUACUCUUGGGAUAAAGGGGAACAAGGAUUUGGUCUUCAUGAAGCACCUGUGUAAAAUCUGAAGCUGAUGAAGAGGUGGAGGCAGCACAAGAGACUAUUGCUCAGCAAAGUAAAGGGAGUCUGAGCAGAGCAGUUGCAUGAAUGGCAGCUGCAGUGUCAGAUGGCAAAGAGAAAAGGAGGGGAUGGGUUUGGUGUCCACUAAGCAAGUGAAUGCAGGAAUCACAAAUAGUGGUUAAAGAGAAGUUGCUAAAGCAGAUUUUCUCCACCUUAAUUUUUUAGUUUCUUGAUUUAAUCUCACUUAGAAUUUCUUGCAGCAGACAUAAAGACACUG
Long non-coding RNA from Lepidothrix coronata (blue-crowned manakin), 1008 nucleotides. RefSeq lists it as uncharacterized. The record is from RefSeq and is a predicted model, not a curated record. The transcript is spliced from 3 exons. Lineage: Eukaryota; Metazoa; Chordata; Aves; Passeriformes; Pipridae.